This 279-nucleotide ribosomal RNA is filed under the name uncultured bacterium. RNAcentral describes it as "partial 16S ribosomal RNA". It matches the Rfam family "Bacterial small subunit ribosomal RNA", at positions 506 to 784 of the family's 1533-position model. The record is from RNAcentral.
UGCCAGCCGCCGCGGUAAUACGGAGGGUCCAAGCGUUAAUCGGAAUUACUGGGCGUAAAGCGCGCGUAGGCGGCUUGGUCAGUCGGAUGUGAAAGCCCCGGGCUUAACCUGGGAAUUGCAUUCGAUACUGCUGAGCUAGAGUAUGGGAGAGGGAAGUGGAAUUUCCGGUGUAGCGGUGAAAUGCGUAGAUAUCGGAAGGAACACCAGUGGCGAAGGCGACUUCCUGGCCCAAAACUGACGCUGAGGUGCGAAAGCGUGGGUAGCGAACAGGAUUAGAUA